AUUGAACGCUGGCGGCAGGCCUAACACAUGCAAGUCGAACGGUAACAGGAAGAAGCUUGCUUCUUUGCUUACGAGUGGCGGACGGGUGAGUAAUGUCUGGGAAACUGCCUGAUGGAGGGGGAUAACUACUGGAAACGGUAGCUAAUACCGCAUAACGUCGCAAGACCAAAGAGGGGGACCUUCGGGCCUCUUGCCAUCGGAUGUGCCCAGAUGGGAUUAGCUAGUAGGUGGGGUAACGGCUCACCUAGGCGACGAUCCCUAGCUGGUCUGAGAGGAUGACCAGCCACACGGGAACUGAAAAACGGUCCAGACUCCUACGGGAGGCAGAGUGGGGAAAAUUUGAAAAAUGGCGCAAGCCUGAUGCAGCCAUGCCGCGUGUAUGAAGAAGGCCUUCGGGUUGUAAAGUACUUUCAGCGGGGAGGAAGGGAGUAAAGUUAAUACCUUUGCUCAUUGACGUUACCCGCAGAAGAAGCACCGGCUAACUCCGUG
Molecule: ribosomal RNA, 489 nt
Filed under: uncultured bacterium
Lineage: Bacteria
Description: partial 16S ribosomal RNA
Rfam family: Bacterial small subunit ribosomal RNA
Source: RNAcentral